GACGAACGCUGGCGGCGUGCUUAACACAUGCAAGUCGAACGGAAAGGCCUCUUUCGGGGGGUACUCGAGUGGCGAACGGGUGAGUAACACGUGAGUAACCUGCCCUUGACUUUGGGAUAACUUCAGGAAACUGGGGCUAAUACCGGAUAGGAGCUCCUGCGGCAUGGGGGGGGUUGGAAAGUUUCGGCGGUUGGGGAUGGACUCGCGGCUUAUCAGCUUGUUGGUGGGGUAGUGGCUUACCAAGGCUUUGACGGGUAGCCGGCCUGGGCGGGUGACCGGCCACAUUGGGACUGGGAUACGGCCCAGACUCCUACGGGAGGCAGCAGUGGGGAAUAUUGCACAAUGGGUGGAAGCCUGAUGCAGCAACGCCGUGUGCGGGAUGACGGCCUUCGGGUUGUAAACCGCUUUCGCUCAUGACGAAGCUUUGUGUGACGGUAGUGGGUAAAGAAGCACCGGCUAACUACGUG
This 467-nucleotide ribosomal RNA is filed under the name uncultured bacterium. RNAcentral's name for it is "partial 16S ribosomal RNA". It matches the Rfam family "Bacterial small subunit ribosomal RNA", at positions 28 to 507 of the family's 1533-position model. The record is from RNAcentral.